GGGGGUGAUCGGUUUCGACGGUGAUCGUCGAGCCAGGUGAAGCGGGUCGAGGAUGCACGGUUAUCUCGUAAACGCUCCGUGCAACUCAUAGGUGCCGAUUCCAAGCGCACCGACUUCGCCCUCGCCGCCUGAGCGAGGCUUCGAAGUCCGUCGGCCUAGACAUGCUCUCGAUCUAGUUCCCGGCGUCAUCUAGAGAGCCACUGCUGUCCGUCCUCGUCGGUGGGGCGGGCGGGACUCUCAGCCGACUGAGCCCGUCCACGUCUUGUCCGCGUGAUCGUGGGGGCUGAGAAAAUCUACUGCGGACUGCACCCGGAGAAGCCCUGGUCCCACGUCAUCGGACGCGGGUUCGAUUCCCGCCACCUCCACGU
This 368-nucleotide transfer-messenger RNA is filed under the name Cellulomonadaceae. RNAcentral describes it as "Cellulomonas sp018388445 Standard tmRNA". It matches the Rfam family "transfer-messenger RNA". Rfam says of the family: Bacterial tmRNA, also known as 10Sa RNA or SsrA, is named for its dual tRNA and mRNA-like properties. Its role is to liberate the mRNA from a stalled ribosome. To accomplish this part of the tmRNA is used as a reading frame that ends in a translation stop signal. The record is from RNAcentral. Lineage: Bacteria; Bacillati; Actinomycetota; Actinomycetes; Micrococcales. RNAcentral also lists the same sequence under 2 other names.